This 795-nucleotide ribosomal RNA is filed under the name Aplysina archeri. RNAcentral's name for it is "eukaryotic LSU rRNA". It matches the Rfam family "Eukaryotic large subunit ribosomal RNA", at positions 993 to 1748 of the family's 3401-position model. Lineage: Eukaryota; Metazoa; Porifera; Demospongiae; Verongiida; Aplysinidae. The record is from RNAcentral.
GUGCAGUUUUAUCAGGUAAAGCGAAUGAUUAGAGGUCUUGGGGUUGAAACAACCUCAACCUAUUCUCAAACUUUAAAUAGGUAAGACGUCCGACUUGCUUGAGUGAAGCCGGACCUCGAAUGCAGGGUUCCUAGUGGGCCAUUUUUGGUAAGCAGAACUGGCGAUGCGGGAUGAACCGAAAGCGGGGUUAAGGUGCCAAAGUCGACGCUCAUCAGACCCCACAAAAGGUGUUGGUUGAUCCAGACAGCAGGACGGUGGCCAUAAAAGUCGGAACCCGCUAAGGAGUGUGUAACAACUCACCUGCCGAAUCAACCAGCCCUGAAAAUGGAUGGCGCUCAAGCGUCGCACCCACACCCCGCCGUCGGGCCGAGCUGGCUGGCCCGACGUGUAGGAGGGCGCAGCGGUGGUGUUGCAGCCUAAGGCGCGAGCCUGGGUCGAACCGCCGUUGGUGCAGAUCUUGGUGGUAGUAGCAAAUAUUCAAAUGAGAACUUUGAAGACUGAAGUGGAGAAAGGUUCCAUGUGAACAGCAGUUGGACAUGGGUGAGUCGGUCCUAAGGGACGGGUCAACUCCUAGCAAGCGCGCACUCCCGGUCCGCCGGGAAGGCGCCCCCUCCCGAAAGGGAAUCGGGUCAAUAUUCCCGAACCGGAACGCGGAUAGGGCCGGUGAUCCUCGCGGUCGCCGACCACGGCGGUAACGCAAGCGAACUCGGAGACGCUGGCGGGGGCUCUGGGAAGAGUUCUCUUUUCUUCUUGACGGGCCAACCCCCUGGAAUGGGAUUGCCCCGACAUAGGGUU